This 310-nucleotide unclassified non-coding RNA is filed under the name Mycolicibacterium litorale. RNAcentral describes it as "partial 16S-23S intergenic spacer". Lineage: Bacteria; Bacillati; Actinomycetota; Actinomycetes; Mycobacteriales; Mycobacteriaceae. The record is from RNAcentral.
CAUCGUGUGGGAGUUCGGGUUCUGGGCGAUUCGUGAAGAUGGCUCGACCUCUGUAGUGGAGGCGGGUCGGGUGCACAACAAACAUGUUCGGUCCGAAGGGAAAUCGGGUCGGCGACUGAGAUUGCCAGACACACUGUUGGGUCCUGAGGCAACAGGCCCGCGGGCCUCUCCUGUUGGGGAGGGGUGCCGGCUCUCAACAUCAGGCGCGUCGGUUGGUUCCGGCGGGGCUGGGGGUUGGGGGUUCUGGUUGCUGCCCUGCUUUGGUGGUGGGGUGUGGUGUUUGAUUCGUGGAUAGUGGUUGCGAGCAUCC